Molecule: non-coding RNA, 106 nt
Filed under: bovine gut metagenome
Description: FMN riboswitch (RFN element)
Rfam family: FMN riboswitch aptamer (RFN element)
About the family: The RFN element is a highly conserved domain that is found frequently in the 5'-untranslated regions of prokaryotic mRNAs that encode for flavin mononucleotide (FMN) biosynthesis and transport proteins. This element is a metabolite-dependent riboswitch that directly binds FMN in the absence of proteins.
Source: RNAcentral
UUCUUUGGGGUAGGUGCAAUUCCUAAUCGGCAGUAAAGUCUGCGAGCAUUAGUUUGCUGAUUCGGUGAAAUUCCGAAACCGACGGUACAGUCCGGAUGGAAAAAGA